This 584-nucleotide long non-coding RNA is filed under the name Heterocephalus glaber (naked mole-rat). RNAcentral's name for it is "lncRNA (ENSHGLG00100052570.1)". Lineage: Eukaryota; Metazoa; Chordata; Mammalia; Rodentia; Bathyergidae. The record is from RNAcentral.
AUGAGUGUCUGGAGCUGUGAUUAACCAGGCAGCAACACAUCAUUUCCUCCCGGCGCGGAUCCAGGGAGCCGGGGAGGGAGCGGGAAAGGCGGCGCGGCGGGGCGGGGCCGUCCCCGCGCCCCUGCAGGCGCCCGGCCCUGAGGGAGCGGCCCAGCCCCCGAGCCGGCCGGGAGCAAGCCGCCGGGCCCUGCGCCCCGCGCCGUCUGUCUGGCAGGCUGGGGCCGCCGGCGCGGGUCUCCUCGGAGGCGACGGGCAGGCCUGAGCCGGGCUCCCGCGGCUGGGGUGGCAGGAGGAGAGGCCGCGCGGCGCGGGGAGAGCCCAGACACUGACAGGAAGUGAAGCCCUAGAAAGUGAAGCCCUUUCAAAGCCCUGCUGAUGACAGGGCCUGGAUCCCUGAGUUACUGGUUGGAGUGGAGUUACCUGGAGUUGCCUCCCGAGCAGGAACAUCCAUGUUGGACAUUUUAUAUUAAAAAAGCAAAGACAUGGGGGAAAUGCUGGUGAUCUACUACAUGAAGAAAAGCAGAGUCCUAAAAUAGCAAUAUAUUGCUGGGACUACAGGAAUGAGAUGCCAAGGAGGCUGACUU